UAAUUGAUUUCCUGAUUUCUAUCGUGUUCCACGAGACUGUUGCUGCUGCUGCUGCUGCGAGUUAGGACGAAGGGGUCAGGCUUAAUUUCUGUGGAUUUUGACACGUUGAGGUAGGGGAUUCGUUUCCAAACUAAACAUUUUAAAUCAUGAAUGCCAAUAAAGUAUUAGAUGAGGCUCUUCUAAAAUGCAAAUAGUUUAAAGAGUAAAGUGUUGUAUAUAUACAAACACUUAUGAUAAGAAAAUUAAUCUUCUUGCCUUAGGCUUGUUUGUAUGUUUUACAUUUACUUCUAGCAGCUGGUAAGUUAUCCUUCUUAGUUACUGAAUGACCAAUACAAGGCUGGAUUAAUUUCACACAGAUUUUAUUCAUGAGGCAAGGAAUUCUGAGAGAGCAGCCAAAAACUUGAGAAAUAACAAAUUGAUCAGGGUUCCUCAUGUAUUCUGGGAUUUGACUAGCAGGCAAGUCCUAACAAUGCAGUUUUAUACAGGGCGAAAGGAGGACAUGAUGUGAAGAAAAUAUGUUCUAUACAAAUAUAAGAUGGGAUGGGUCUUAUAAUGAUUUUGGUUAUCUACCUGUAUUAUUUUGAUGUGUUCUUAACAUUUUGAAAAGAGACUUUAUCCAAU
Molecule: non-coding RNA, 621 nt
Organism: Arachis ipaensis
Lineage: Eukaryota; Viridiplantae; Streptophyta; Magnoliopsida; Fabales; Fabaceae
Source: RefSeq, a predicted model, not a curated record